Molecule: ribosomal RNA, 381 nt
Filed under: uncultured eukaryote
Lineage: Eukaryota
Description: partial 18S ribosomal RNA
Rfam family: Eukaryotic small subunit ribosomal RNA
Source: RNAcentral
CAAUAGCGUAUAUUAAAGCUGUUGCGGUUAAAAAGCUCGUAGUUGGAUUUCUGUCAAGGACAACUGGUCCGCCCUCCGGGUGAGCACAUAGUUUGGUCUUGGCAUCUUGCUGGAAGCUGUUGCUGCACUUGGCUGUGUGGCGCAGCGUCCAGCACUUUCACUUUGAGGAAAUUGGAGUGUUUCAAGCAGGCACAUGCCUUUGGACACAGUAGCAUGGAAUAAUUAGAUUGGGCUUUUGCUCCAAUUUGUCGGUUUCUGGAGCUGAGGUGAGAAUUAAUGGGGAUUGUUGGGGGCAUCCGAAUUUAGCCGUCAGAGGUGAAAUUCUUGGAUCUGCUAAAGACGGACAACUGCGAAAGCGUUUGCCCAGGAUGUUGUCAUUGA